AAGUCCGGAGCCGGAGCGCGCCGGGCCAGAGCCGCGCCGGAGGCUGAGGCGGUCGCUGGGGAGGUGAGGCGCGCUCUUCCCCGCUCGCCUCCGCUCCGCCGAGGCUGAAAUUCGGGUGGGUGACCCCGCCCCGGCGCCUGCUGAGCCCUGGCACCCAGGACCAAGGGCCGUGGCGCUCUAUGGGCGGGAAGGGCCCGAAAGGACGGCGCCUGAGAGCAUGGAUGGGCACCUUGGGCUCGAUGAAAUUCUAUGAUCUUGCUUAUUCCUAUCUUGGGAAGUCCUUCCCAAUGUCUAACCAAGAUCCAGACUGCCGAUGCACCAGUUCCUUGACCCUUGGCUUGACUUGACUGAUUUGAAAGGUUUUAAAGCCCUUGGAGAAGUGAACUGUGGGGCCUCCAAGCUGCUGGCUCCCAGCCCCAGAUGGGGCAGGAAAGGACUGACCCCCCACAGCUGUGCGUCGGACUCCUGGUUUCUGUGCAGCCCCUCAUUGGACCCUUUCCCGGGCACAGCUCCCCACACCGCAGGAAGGAAGGAACUGGCCUUGAUCAGGCACCUACUUGCCUGUACCAAAAAGGAGAGCCUGCUUCACCAGUUGGCCUGGGUUUCCCCUAAGAAGCCUUCCUGGAUUGACUGAAAGAUGAGGCUAAAUUCUACUAAGUUGACUGUCUCCUCCAAGAAGCCUUUGAGGGGGAUGGGAGUGGGGAGGCCCCAGCCUCCAGCCCGCACAGCCCACUGCACCCGGAGCCCCUGGGAUAAGACUUGGCUUCGCCCUUGCUCCCGCCCCGUCCCAUCCCGGUUCCUCCUGUGUCGUCUGAGCUGAGAUUCCUCUGAGAUGGAAGUCCCACCUCCCGUCUAAUAAAGACUCCUGACUCCUGAACAGCAGCCGUAGUGGCAGUGGAUGUCCCUGUACAGGGUUUUGGGGGGAGGGAUGAAUGAGAGGAGGGCAGUCCUGGGCUCCCUCUAGGAGACCAAUGCUAGAAGCCACCACUGCAACCCAAGGAGGAGGCCUCACUAAGACAGAACUCCAUGGUGGGGCAGGGGGUGGGGGGAGCAGCCACCCAGGGGUCCUGGGAACACCCAGGGUCUGGUCAGGCCCAACUCAGCAAUGGGCUGAAGCUCCCAGCCAAGGAGGCCCCUCAAUAUCAUCCCAAGAACCAAGAGAAUAGGGGAGGUGGGUUGCUCCCCCAGAGUGCCUGUGCGGGAGGUCCCUGGGUGGGUGGGCCUCUGUCUCCUCCAUGAAGUGUCCCUUCCUCAGGUAUGUCCUCCUGGCUUGGAACAGACCACAAAGAGAGAGCACCCCUGUGCCACCGCCCACCCUACCCCCCCGCCCCCCCCAACUCCUGCUUCCUCCUCCAGCAGUGAUGAAAGGGAAUGAAUAUGUCUGUCAAGAGGAAUUCAGGUUAGAGAGCAGGCAGGACUUUUCAGUAAGAUCUUGGGAGGGCAGCUUCGGGGGCCAGGGAACCAUGUCAAGAGGCUGGGACUGUGCUCUUGAUCCCAUCAUUUCCCCCACAGGCUUCUCCAAGAGACAGUCCUCCUCUCACUCUCAGCUCCUGCUGGGAAGCGUUAGCAGAGUCCACUGCCAGCACCUUUUAAGCUCUCCAUCAUCCUCUAAAAAGUCCUUCCUCUCGCCCUGGCUGGCCAGUGUGGCUCUGUUGGUUGGCCAUCAUCCUGUGCACUGUAAGGUUGCCGGUUCGAUUCCUGGUCAGGGCACAUGCCCAGGUUUUGGCUUGAU
Myotis myotis is the source of this 1732-nucleotide long non-coding RNA. RefSeq lists it as uncharacterized. The transcript is spliced from 4 exons. The record is from RefSeq and is a predicted model, not a curated record. NCBI's taxonomy places the organism in Eukaryota, Metazoa, Chordata, Mammalia, Chiroptera, Vespertilionidae.